Molecule: long non-coding RNA, 3328 nt
Organism: Mustela lutreola (European mink)
Lineage: Eukaryota; Metazoa; Chordata; Mammalia; Carnivora; Mustelidae
Exons: 3
Source: RefSeq, a predicted model, not a curated record
UCCAUGCUGUCUGCCCUUUAAACAGUGUGGCUCUCUGCAAGCCUCUUAAUGGUGAUGGAAAGAAGAGGCAGGAAUGAAAAUCUGGCUUGCUGAUAGAGCCUACAACAUGCAUUUUAUUAAGUUGCUGCUUUCAGAAAGGAAGUUUCUCCUUGAGCCCUGUAUGUCACCAUUACAUUGCCAACACUAAAUUAUUUUUUUUUCUUUUCAGUGUUCCACUUUCAUGCAUAUUUUCCUCCUUUCUGGGUGAUAGAGGAUUCAUAGGCCAUCUGGAUUCUGAAACAUCUGGACACCGAAUUUCUGCAGAGGAGAAUCAGAGGAAAGAGACGAUCAGUGGUAUUGGGUGUCUCCGGAGAGAUUUAAAUCAACGAUGAUAUUUUGGUUGUCUCCCUCUUGGAACAUUAACACAAAACGUGAAAGGAAAAAACAACACAUCACAGGAACCCAGUGUUUCAAGAAUACCAAGACUAUAUAAGAAGUGAACGGUGCUAUCACAAACAUCAACUUCUAACCAGAAAAAGGCAUCAUGAGGAAGCCUCUCCUUGGUCAUUUUAGGAACCCGAAGAACAAGUUGUAAGCAGAGAGAAAUAUUCCUUUUUCCACUGGAACUUAUUGAAGCAGGUCCCAGACCCAACGAGAAAGAUGCCUGAAUUGCCUUUUGAUUUUUGCACUUACAGCCUUGGAUCAUGGACAACUCUGGUGCCGACAACUAGUACUAAUAGCUCAGAAGUAAAGAAGUAAACAACGCUGAGUUUUUCUCACUUCACAGAAACUCUGAAAUGACUCCAGAUUACCAUGCGCUCCUUGCUUCCCCUCUGCUUUUUUCACUCUGAGGAUUUGAAGUCAGGAGGCAAUCAGCCCCUGAGGUGUAAACAACAAGAGAUUACUCAUUGAUGGUAUAAACAGAAGAAGAGUACAGAAGUUCAGGCCAGGACCCAGUUGUCAUCUGAAGAGAUACAUUAGCUACAAAGCCUGUCCAAACGGUCAUCACAAAUAGGUUUCAGAAUGUUUUAUAUGGACCUGAGCCACGUUUUUACCUUGUCCGUAUACUGAAAAGAUGAUCUAUCACAGGGCAACGAACUUUCAAAUAACAAUAAAAAUUAUUUGAUUAGGAGGAAAGAACAGGGGUGGAGUGGGAGGGAAUGAUUAACCUCCCCGUGACUCACAUAGAGCCUGAGCCACUGGGGAUGAGUUGGCCACGACAGAAUUUAUACCACACUACAGGCUGAAUUUCAACAAGUUAUUUAGGAUGAUUUUGUGACUAAGCAUGAAAUUGGAAUUAUAUUGUCUCCUGUGUCCAAGUAAUAUAAACAUUUUUUUCUUCAUUAUUUCAGAUUUUUUAAAUUCUUGUGCUUCUUUAGAAUGAGCUCACAAAAUAACUGUACUUUGUAAACUACAAAAGGAAACGUAUGUCCUUUUAUUUCCAUUGUGUUGGAAGGAUUUGGUAAGGAAUGUUAAUGUAAAUUAUUACUUAUUAUGUGGCUAUUAUUAUUAUGAUGAUGAUUAAUUAUUAUUACCAACUCUAAGCUAGUCCUCCACAUCCAAACACUUUGCACCUGCAAAACAAGACAUUCAUUCAAAUUUAAUUUGUGUUUCUUCCUUUGUUCUCAAUCCAGUUUGAUUUCAGCUAGUUUUCACUCACCUCCUAACCCAUAGCCCAAACUUUCAUUUGCUGCUGGUUCCUAGAAUUUGGGACUUGAUAUUGAAGGGAGAAAAACACCAUAAUUUUCUUAAGAAAUGCAUUUUUUAAAAGUAUUUAAUACUCAUUCAAAAUUUAUUUUUGAAACCCUUUAGGGGCUCCUGUCUUGCACAGUUGGUUAAGCCUCUGCCUUCAGCUCAGGUCAUAAUCUCAGAGUCCUGGGAUUGAGCUCCACAUCAGGCUCCCUGCUCAGCGGGGAGUCUGCUUCUUCCUUUCCCUCUGCCCUCCCCCGCCUCACCCCCACCCCGCUGCUUGUUUGUGCUUGAGUACAUGCUCUUUAUCUCUCAAAUAAAUGAAUAAAAUCUUUAAAAACAAAAACCCCUUUAAAAGUUAUAACUGGAAAUAAACUUUCUUAACCUGAGAAAUGACAUCAUUGUAAAUCUAUAGCAAUCAUCAUAUUUAAUAAAUUCUAUAAAAUUAUAGAAUAACUCCCAUUUAAAUCACAAACAAAACAAGAUGUCCACUAUCCUAUUAUCACGGAUUUUAUACAAUAUUAUCAUGGACAUCUUACAAUAAUAAGGUAAGAGAGUAAAAUAAAAUGUAUAAAAACCAGAAAAAACAAAAUUGCCAUCUCCAUACAACAGGAUUAUCUACAGAGUAUAUUCAAAAUAAUCUACAUACAAACUAUUGAAACUGGGAACAGUGUUCAAAAAAGUGAUUAGAUGAAAGUAAUUUAACUAGUUGACACGUAUUUUUUUUUUAAAUUUUAUGUAUUUAUUUGAGAGAGAGUGCACACACAAGCAGGGGGAGGACAAGGGGGAAGGGCAGGGGAAAAAAGCAGACUCCCUGCUGAGCAGAGAGCCUGAUCCAGGGCUGGAUCAAAAGACCCUGAGGUGAUGACCUGAGCCACCCAAGUGACCCUAAUUAGCUAAUACAUACUGUAUUCUUACUGUGGGCCAGGCACAGUUCUAGGUAUUUUCCAUAUAUUAUUAACUAAUAAUAUUAACUAAUCUAAUGCAAUUAAGUUGAGAAUAACACAGUUACUAUUUCCAAAGAAAACUGAUGUACAGAAAGAUAAAAUAACUUUCUGUUAUAGGUUGAAUUGCAUUCCCCAGAAGAUAUGGUGAAACCCUAACUCCUAAAACCUGUGAAUAUGACCUUAUUGAAAACCAGAUCUUUGCAGCUAUAAUCAAUUUAAGAUGACCUCGGUAGGGUGGGCCCUAAUCCAAUGUGACUGAUGCCCUUUUAAGAAGAGGUGAAUUUGGACAUAGACACACACAAGAAAGAAUGCCAGGUGGCAACAAAGUCAGAGAUUGGAGUCAUGUGGCUACAAACCAAGGAAUGCCAAAGACUCCCAGCAACCAAAAGGAGCUAGGAAGAGGAAAGGAAGGAGUCCCUUACAGUUUUUGAGGGGGAUCAGGAACCUGCCAAGAGUUUGAUUUCAGAUGUUUAGCUUCCAGAACAGUGAGACAAUAAAUUUCUGUUGUUCUGAACCACCCAGUUUGUGGUACUUCGUGAGGGCAGCACCAGCAAACUAAUAAACUCACCAAGACUCCCACAGUUAGUAGUACAAUGACAAAGCUGGGAUACAAGAUUAGCAUGUCAAAAUCAAUACCGUCAACACCAGUAAAAACAAACCAGAAAAUAUAAUGUAAAAGCAGAUACUGUUUACAAUUACAUAAAACACAAGGU